This 708-nucleotide long non-coding RNA is filed under the name Gopherus agassizii (Agassiz's desert tortoise). RNAcentral describes it as "lncRNA (ENSGAGG00000011432.1)". The record is from RNAcentral. Lineage: Eukaryota; Metazoa; Chordata; Testudines; Testudinidae.
CUCCUUGUUCUCAGACUUGUAUCUGCCUUGGUCCCAAUUGUGCCCCUGCGUUGCUUCACUCCAGGUGACCUGAUUCUGACCAGAGGCGCCAACUCUGGGCUUCUAACUCCAGCUGUGACCCAGGGCUCUGGCACCUGGCCUCCGGAUUCCAGCUCUGACCCUGGACUCUGAUUUCCUGGCUACGGACUCCUGCUCCAAUCUCUAGACAUGACCACCAUGUUCUGAUCACCAACAGGUAUAUCCAAUAUCCAACCUCUACAACAACUGAAAAGAGCAGCAGCAAAAUAUGAUUAAAGGGGAGUAAGCAUGUGCUUGGCUGAGUUGGACCUGAAUGUUCCAAGCCCAAGCUUGGACUUGAAAUGCUGAUACCUGUAGAAUGUAUUCAGUGGUGUGGUCAUGAUGAAAACUCCAGGAUGCUGAUGCUAUGAAAGGUCCAAAAAGAGGGAGACACCCGUUUCAAGGACACAGCAUGGGCCAGGAUGAGGACUAGGAUAAGAAUAAUUUGAGACACCACUCUAUCCAUGCAGUAAUGGAAAGGAAGUUGCCUCUUGCAUCUGUAAAACCGAAGAGCAGUUUUUGUCAUCUUUGCCUUUCUGGAUAUAUCACCUGAAAGUACAAUAUGUAGGUGUCCCCUGCAGGAAGCAGCAGGUAAGAUGUAAAUGGACCUUUGCUUCACUUAAGCCUAAAAUUCCUGUUUGUGAAUCAUCU